RNAcentral lists this ribosomal RNA (543 nucleotides) under uncultured Bacteroidota bacterium. Its description in RNAcentral is "bacterial SSU rRNA". It matches the Rfam family "Bacterial small subunit ribosomal RNA", at positions 353 to 896 of the family's 1533-position model. The record is from RNAcentral. Lineage: Bacteria; Pseudomonadati; Bacteroidota.
AGUGAGGAAUAUUGGUCAAUGGGCGCAAGCCUGAACCAGCCACGUCGCGUGAAGGAAGACGGCCCUACGGGUUGUAAACUUCUUUUGUAAGGGAAUAAAGUGUAGUACGUGUACUAUUUUGCAUGUACCUUACGAAUAAGGAUCGGCUAACUCCGUGCCAGCAGCCGCGGUAAUACGGAGGAUCCGAGCGUUAUCCGGAUUUAUUGGGUUUAAAGGGUGCGCAGGCGGGAGAUUAAGUCGGCGGUGAAAUUUUGCAGCUUAACUGUAAAAGUGCCUUCGAAACUGGUUUCCUUGAGUGUAGAUGAAGUAGGCGGAAUUUGUGGUGUAGCGGUGAAAUGCAUAGAUAUCACGAGGAACUCCGAUUGCGCAGGCAGCUUACUAAACUACUACUGACGCUCAGGCACGAAGGCGUGGGGAUCAAACAGGAUUAGAUACCCUGGUAGUCCACGCAGUAAACGAUGAUUACUCGCUGUUUGCGAUAUACAGUAAGCGGCUUAGCGAAAGCGUUAAGUAAUCCACCUGGGGAGUACGUUCGCAAGAAUG